CCUACGUGAGUCAGCAGUGGGGAAUAUUGGGCAAUGGGCGCACGCCUGGCCCAGCAACGCCGCGUGAAGGAAGAAGGCUUUCGGGUUGUAAACUUCUUUUAAGAGGGAAGAGUAGAAGACGGUAUCUCUUGAAUAAGCUACGGCUAACUACGUGCCAGCAGCCGCGGUAAUACGUAGGUGGCAAGCGUUGUACGGAUUUACUGGGUGUAAAGGGCGUGUAGUCGGGCGGGCAAGUCAGUUGUGAAAUCCCAAGGCUCAACCUUGGAACUGCAUUUGAAACUGUUAGACUGGAGUCUCGGAGAGGCAGGGGGAAUUCCUGGUGUAGCGGUGAAAUGCGUAGAUAUUAGGAGGAACACCAGUGGCGAAGGCGACUAGCUGGAAGACAACUGACGGGGAGGAGCGAAAGCGUGGGGAGCAAACAGGAUUAGAUACCCUUGUAGUC
This 442-nucleotide ribosomal RNA is filed under the name uncultured bacterium. RNAcentral describes it as "partial 16S ribosomal RNA". It matches the Rfam family "Bacterial small subunit ribosomal RNA", at positions 338 to 795 of the family's 1533-position model. The record is from RNAcentral.